Molecule: ribosomal RNA, 194 nt
Filed under: uncultured eukaryote
Lineage: Eukaryota
Description: partial 18S ribosomal RNA
Rfam family: Eukaryotic small subunit ribosomal RNA
Source: RNAcentral
GGAACCUGGUUGAUCCUGCCAGUAGUCAUACGCUCGUCUCAAAGAUUAAGCCAUGCAUGUCUAAGUAUAAACAAAUUUAUACUGUGAAACUGCGAAUGGCUCAUUAUAUCAGUUAUAGUUUAUUUGAUAAUAAAAUUUUUACUACUUGGAUAACCGUAGUAAUUCUAGAGCUAAUACAUGCAUAAAAGGCUUAA